UCAAUUUACUCACUAGAAAUUGAUAGUGUUGUGCCAUCAAUUUUGUAAACGCAACAGCUAUUUGAAGAUCACUUAACUCGUGGAAGAAUAAUGACCCCUUUAAAAUGAUGAUAGCCCUGUGCUUCUUGAUGUUUGCAUAUAUAUCUGAUGAAUUUCUUUCUUAUAUUGCGUUAAGAAGCAAAUUGUUGCCACUUUUGGAUUUUGUUUUCAUGUGCUUCCUACUGUACACAUUUCUUUAUUUCUUUUUGAGAAAAUGGUCUAUUACCCCCACCCACCCCCAAUCUAUAGUCGAAAUUCUAACUACAUACUCAAUCUUCACGGAAGUUUCAUUACCCCCUAAACAUUUUUUUUACUGUAUUUAGUACCACCCCCUCCCCCAAUUGCUGACCUGUCAUGGGAGAUGAGAACACCCCCAGUACGCGCGUUAAUUGAGGCCUUAACACUUCAAAUUCAUUAUUUUAAAUGCCAUGUCAUUAUUUUUAAUUUUAUAGUAAUGUUAUCUUCUCCAAUUAAUAAAGAGAAACUCCAACAGUAAUUUUACAACUCCAAACGCCAUCUUUCUCAUGCAAGCCUUCAUCUGCUCCAUUUUUUUUCAAUUUCUCUGAAAAGAACUUAGAGUUAAUCCUAAUUUCUUGUUCAACUCUUGAAGUUGUGAUUUGUAAUCAUGUCCAAUUUUAGGGUUCAUAAUUUGUUGAUUGAUUUUGUCGAAAUUCUUCAAAUGGCAAAUGCGGAAUUGAAUAAGCUUUGUAUGGAUGAAUCAAACCUACUGUUCAAUGUUGUAGUGAGAUGCAAAAAUGGAAUUUUGCUGAACUUGCAAACUUCAUGGUCAAAAUCAAAUCUGGGAAGAAGAUUUUGGUUUUGUCCCUACUAUGGUGUUCAAAUUGUAAUCUUUUUCUAUGGAGGAUAAAGAAAAAGUCGAUCCAAGAUCAAAUUUAUCCUUUCAAGAUUAGUGAACAAAAUCAAAGAGUUAGAAUAAGAUUUGUGGCUUAAAUAGGUCCAAAUUGACAAGUUGACUUUGGAGAGGAGACUCAAUGGAAGAUGAAAAUGGUGUAUGUUUAAUAGGAAGACAUUUUUUUGUAUUUUGAUUUGUAUUGUUGCCAUGUUCAUCGGCAAUAAAUCUGUUGAAAGUAGUUAAUUGAUUGUUUAUGGUGUAAAUUUUGUAUAUCUACCUAUAUAUAUCGGAUUAUGGUAUGUUAUGGUGUUUUA
Capsicum annuum is the source of this 1206-nucleotide long non-coding RNA. RefSeq lists it as uncharacterized. Lineage: Eukaryota; Viridiplantae; Streptophyta; Magnoliopsida; Solanales; Solanaceae. The transcript has 2 exons. The record is from RefSeq and is a predicted model, not a curated record.